This 497-nucleotide ribosomal RNA is filed under the name uncultured bacterium. RNAcentral's name for it is "partial 16S ribosomal RNA". It matches the Rfam family "Bacterial small subunit ribosomal RNA", at positions 28 to 507 of the family's 1533-position model. The record is from RNAcentral.
GAUGAACGCUGGCGGCGUGCCUAAUACAUGCAAGUCGAGCGAACGGACGAGAAGCUUGCUUCUCUGAUGUUAGCGGCGGACGGGUGAGUAACACGUGGAUAACCUACCUAUAAGACUGGGAUAACUUCGGGAAACCGGAGCUAAUACCGGAUGAUAUUUUGAACCGCAUGGUUCAAAAGUGAAAGACGGUCUUGCUGUCACUUAUAGAUGGAUCCGCGCUGCAUUAGCUAGUUGGUAAGGUAACGGCUUACCAAGGCAACGAUGCAUAGCCGACCUGAGAGGGUGAUCGGCCACACUGGAACUGAGACACGGUCCAGACUCCUACGGGAGGCAGCAGUAGGGAAUCUUCCGCAAUGGGCGAAAGCCUGACGGAGCAACGCCGCGUGAGUGAUGAAGGUCUUCGGAUCGUAAAACUCUGUUAUUAGGGAAGAACAUGUGCGUAAGUAACUGUGCACAUCUUGACGGUACCUAAUCAGAAAGCCACGGCUAACUACGUG